UUAGUAGUUUAAGAAGAAGAAAGAAGGCGGAUUUUCAUCAAGACUAAUGGAAAGCAGCAGCAGCGCUGGCAGUAGUGCUGAGUACAGCUUUAAAUGAAGCAGGGAGCAUACAGAGGAGUUGAUAAAACUCCGUGGGCAAAAUAACCACCUCUUUACCGGGGCCAAAAACACUGCUGUAGUCGGACGGAGAACAAUCCUGCAAAAAACGGGCCUGGAGGGUGAAGUUGAGCCACAACAGGCCAAAAAAAAGUGGGACAACUUGAAAAAAAAAAUACAAAGAAUGCAAAGAUCCAGGGACAGGGCAGGGGGUCAGUGGGAAGCCUACUGCUGCCACCUGGCCAUGGUUUGUCCUCAUGUUCUGUGUUGCUGUUAUUGUUAAAUUAAAUUAUUAAAUUGUUUAUAAAAGUUA
Fundulus heteroclitus (mummichog) is the source of this 409-nucleotide long non-coding RNA. RefSeq lists it as uncharacterized. The record is from RefSeq and is a predicted model, not a curated record. The transcript is spliced from 4 exons. NCBI's taxonomy places the organism in Eukaryota, Metazoa, Chordata, Actinopteri, Cyprinodontiformes, Fundulidae.